GUGUUACUUCGGUAGCACAUGUAAUAAAAUUGGCACAAUACAGAGAAGAUUAGCAUGGCCCCGCAAGGAUGACAUGCACAAUCGUGGAGUGUUCCUAAAAAAA
Cololabis saira (Pacific saury) is the source of this 103-nucleotide small nuclear RNA. The record is from RefSeq and is a predicted model, not a curated record. Lineage: Eukaryota; Metazoa; Chordata; Actinopteri; Beloniformes; Belonidae.